This 735-nucleotide ribosomal RNA is filed under the name Limosilactobacillus reuteri. RNAcentral describes it as "bacterial SSU rRNA". It matches the Rfam family "Bacterial small subunit ribosomal RNA", at positions 56 to 749 of the family's 1533-position model. Lineage: Bacteria; Bacillati; Bacillota; Bacilli; Lactobacillales; Lactobacillaceae. The record is from RNAcentral.
UGCAGUCGUACGCACUGGCCCAACUGAUUGAUGGUGCUUGCACCUGAUUGACGAUGGAUCACCAGUGAGUGGCGGACGGGUGAGUAACACGUAGGUAACCUGCCCCGGAGCGGGGGAUAACAUUUGGAAACAGAUGCUAAUACCGCAUAACAACAAAAGCCACAUGGCUUUUGUUUGAAAGAUGGCUUUGGCUAUCACUCUGGGAUGGACCUGCGGUGCAUUAGCUAGUUGGUAAGGUAACGGCUUACCAAGGCGAUGAUGCAUAGCCGAGUUGAGAGACUGAUCGGCCACAAUGGAACUGAGACACGGUCCAUACUCCUACGGGAGGCAGCAGUAGGGAAUCUUCCACAAUGGGCGCAAGCCUGAUGGAGCAACACCGCGUGAGUGAAGAAGGGUUUCGGCUCGUAAAGCUCUGUUGUUGGAGAAGAACGUGCGUGAGAGUAACUGUUCACGCAGUGACGGUAUCCAACCAGAAAGUCACGGCUAACUACGUGCCAGCAGCCGCGGUAAUACGUAGGUGGCAAGCGUUAUCCGGAUUUAUUGGGCGUAAAGCGAGCGCAGGCGGUUGCUUAGGUCUGAUGUGAAAGCCUUCGGCUUAACCGAAGAAGUGCAUCGGAAACCGGGCGACUUGAGUGCAGAAGAGGACAGUGGAACUCCAUGUGUAGCGGUGGAAUGCGUAGAUAUAUGGAAGAACACCAGUGGCGAAGCGGCUGUCUGGUCUGCAACUGACGCUGA